GUGGAAGUUUUAAACAAUUUGUGGUCACAUAACGGUCAACAACGUGUUUAAAUGUGAAGUGGUAUGGUCCCAAAUUUUGUACCAGGUUUGGCCGCGAGAGACCAUCACCCAGCUCGUUACCCCUAUCGACAAGGAUUUACCUUCGUUCGUGCGGGCAUUGCGCGAACCCAGUUUGCUUUCCCACUCGGGAAAUGAUGAGAAGACUUACCUUGUGUAUGAAAACGGGAGUUUUCGUCACAACAAGGGAUGCGAUAAUCACUACGGUUACCGCACAUAGGGAUGCGGCCCAAAACCGCAUCCUAUUGUCUACACAAGUGGAACUGACACUUUGACUUAAGUGACCAAGCUAGCAAGUGGUUUGUCCGGGCACUGACAGCGGUCAGCUGGCAGACGGACUGACAGCUGCAGCAAGACGUGGCAUCACCUCUGGAUGCAUCCAACGCUUCCGUGACCUGCGCUUCUAACACACCUACAAAAGGCUACGCGUUGUCAGUAUAGCCAAUUGGCUAUCCUCCUUCACUCUUCAACUAUAAAUACUUAUCCCGGACCAAGUUUGAGAUAACGCUAAUCUGUUCUCACACACAUACUACUCAAACACACACUUUGCUCUUAAGCAAAUACUGAUUCUCACGCCGGAGAGUGGUAACAAGAAGCACCCACAUCUCAUCCCUUGUUACGAGUCACGGUGUGUUUCCUUAUGCAGGAGACAUGUUAGAGGACGACCCGACCAUUGAUCGAGGAAAAAAGGGAUUAACCAUACUCGACGGGACUAGUGAAUUAACCCUCUAGUUAACCAUUGUUUCAUCAAAAUGUAUAGCAUUUUUUAACAUAACUAAUUAAUAAAAAUAAUUGUGAUAAAGGAUGGCAAGAGACAACUUAACCAAAAUCCGACUAUAAAACAAAUUAGCUGUAUUAACUUAUUUAUGACAUGAACGCAUAAGGUUCCAAUCUAACCCGUUAAUGAUAGAUAACUAGUGUUACAUUAUUAUCCUAGUUGCUAAUCCAAAGAGAUUGACAAUUUAGUGUUACAUUAUUAGGUUUAUUUAAAAAAAAAAACAUAAUAGACAUAGAAAAUAGUAUUUGAAAAGUAUCACUUGUGUAUAGAUUUGAGUGUUUUUUUUUUUUAAUAUUUUUUUGCUAAUUACACAUAUUUAAGAAAGUAUCUAUAAAAUUAUUCAUGGAACAAUAUUUUACGUCUUUAUUCAAAAUUAACUCCAAUUAGAACUUUAUAUCCAAACUUAGAGACUUAAAAAUCAACAAUUGAAGCAAGUUCUCUCACAUCGAGUUUAGCGACUUAAAAAUCAACAAUUGAAGCAAGUUCUCUCACAUCGAGUUUUAGAGAACAAAGGAGUUUAUAUUAAA
RNAcentral lists this long non-coding RNA (1362 nucleotides) under Helianthus annuus (common sunflower). RNAcentral's name for it is "hypothetical non coding rna". The record is from RNAcentral. Lineage: Eukaryota; Viridiplantae; Streptophyta; Magnoliopsida; Asterales; Asteraceae.